GAUGAACGCUGGCGGCGUGCCUAAUACAUGCAAGUCGAGCGAACAGACGAGGAGCUUGCUCCUCUGACGUUAGCGGCGGACGGGUGAGUAACACGUGGAUAACCUACCUAUAAGACUGGGAUAACUUCGGGAAACCGGAGCUAAUACCGGAUAAUAUAUUGAACCGCAUGGUUCAAUAGUGAAAGACGGUUUUGCUGUCACUUAUAGAUGGAUCCGCGCCGCAUUAGCUAGUUGGUAAGGUAACGGCUUACCAAGGCAACGAUGCGUAGCCGACCUGAGAGGGUGAUCGGCCACACUGGAACUGAGACACGGUCCAGACUCCUACGGGAGGCAGCAGUAGGGAAUCUUGCGCAAUGGGCGAAAGCGUGACGGAGCAACGCCGCGUGUGUGAUGAAGGUCUUCGGGUCGUAAAACUCUGUUAUUAGGAAAGAACAAAUGUGUAAGUAACUCUGCACGUCUUGACGGUACCUAAUCAGAAAGCCCCGGCUAACUACGUG
RNAcentral lists this ribosomal RNA (497 nucleotides) under uncultured bacterium. RNAcentral describes it as "partial 16S ribosomal RNA". It matches the Rfam family "Bacterial small subunit ribosomal RNA", at positions 28 to 507 of the family's 1533-position model. The record is from RNAcentral.